This is a long non-coding RNA of Alexandromys fortis (reed vole), 665 nucleotides long. RefSeq lists it as uncharacterized. NCBI's taxonomy places the organism in Eukaryota, Metazoa, Chordata, Mammalia, Rodentia, Cricetidae. The record is from RefSeq and is a predicted model, not a curated record. The transcript is spliced from 3 exons.
UUAAUUAUAAUAAAGAAACUGCCUCGGCCCUCAUAGGACAGAAAAUUAGGUAGGCGGAGUAGACAGAAGAGAAUGCUGGGAAAAAGAAGCUUAGUGAAGAGUCGCCAUGAUUCUCCCACUCCAGACAGACGCAGGUUAAGAUCCUCCCUGAUUGAUGGAAGCUAAAGAUUUUAUUAAUCUAUCAAGAGAAUGUUAGGCUGCACAGUCUAUAAGAACUUUACAGAAGAUGCUAAUUGCAGCUUCAUCAGAAAACUUCUGACCAAAGUUUUUUCUCUAGGUGAUUCAUCUGGAUCUUGGCUGGAAUUGUUUGUGACAAGUCCAACUACUUGAAAGGUGAAGAUGAAAGUGCCUUAUUUAUGCAUACUUGGAGUGGCUGAAAAUUGAUAUGCACCCCUUGCAUUAAUCUUUCUUUUGAGACAUAAACAAUUGUCCCUUUGUACCAGUUAAGGCAAAAAAAGAAACAAUUCCACCCAAGUGUGACAUAAUGAAUCAAUGAGUAUUUUGGGAUUACAUCUACAAGACCAAAGGAGGGGUUCCUUACAGGAGCAUGAAUGACACCAAGGCAACUACAUCACUGAAAGUCCACUACCGUCUGGGCCAUAACUCACUACACAAUGUAGAGGCUGUGUCCCUCUAUCUUCCCACAGCACUACAGAUAUUUUGGU